Molecule: ribosomal RNA, 252 nt
Filed under: uncultured bacterium
Lineage: Bacteria
Description: partial 16S ribosomal RNA
Rfam family: Bacterial small subunit ribosomal RNA
Source: RNAcentral
UACGGGGGGGGCAAGCGUUGUUCGGAAUUACUGGGCGUAAAGGCUCGUAGGCGGCCAACUAAGUCGGAUGUGAAAUCCCCAGGCUUAACCUGGGAACUGCAUCCGAUACUGGAUGGCUUGAAUUCGGGAGAGGGAUGCAGAAUUCCAGGUGUAGCGGUGAAAUGCGUAGAUAUCUGGAGGAAUACCGGUGGCGAAGGCGGCAUCCUGGACCGAGAUUGACGCUGAUGAGCGAAAGCUAGGGGAGCAAACGGG